UUUACUCUUUUUCAAAAAUUUCGGCUUUAUUUCCUAAUUCUAACGUUCCUCAAAAAUUCUCUCUUCUCCUCUGGCGUUUUCCUUUUUCUUUUCCAAACACAAUAUUUUUCUCUUUUCAUUACUCAUUUUGACAAAAUCGUGCUUCAUUGUCAUGAUAUUUCUGAUUGUGCGCUUUUCAUUUGGUAACUUGUGGUGAGUUUUGCCGAGGAGGUAGCCUUUG
Molecule: long non-coding RNA, 220 nt
Filed under: Gossypium barbadense (sea-island cotton)
Lineage: Eukaryota; Viridiplantae; Streptophyta; Magnoliopsida; Malvales; Malvaceae
Description: long non-coding RNA (GBAR_LNC010302)
Source: RNAcentral